This 748-nucleotide long non-coding RNA is filed under the name Nicotiana tabacum (common tobacco). Its description in RNAcentral is "long non-coding RNA (NTAB_LNC010517)". The record is from RNAcentral. Lineage: Eukaryota; Viridiplantae; Streptophyta; Magnoliopsida; Solanales; Solanaceae.
AAUUCAUGACUUUGCAGGUUCCUUUUCUUCGAAUUAUCUUAACUUUUUUUACUCAAUUAUAUUUGCUAUUUAUUUUAGGAACAAUUUUAGAGGAUGUCACGAAUUCUCUAGAUAUUGAAAUUAGAACUUUGAAAUAUAUACAAAUAGGACAGGGUUGAUUGAAGUGUUGGUCAAUCUUUUGAGGUUUAGUUCACGUAAUUCUUACUUUAGUAUUAGAUUAUUUUUUAUGCUUCUACCAUCCUUGAAAGCCAAAAUUGGCUCAAUUUGUCCGCAUUUCUUUUGCGACCAAUACCUAAACAUAUCAUGAAUGGGGGGUCUAUCUUCUUGAAAAAAUAUUCUUUAACUUUUUGCGUUAAAAUGAUUUUUUUUAAUGAUAAAUGGUUGAAAUUAUCUGCAUGUCUGAUCUGAGUAUUUUAAGGAUGUUAUUGUAGGACUAUUUCAAGUAUGGUACCGACAAAGCAAUCGAUAAUCCAUGGGCAUCUAUUAUCUCGUGCUUCCUUCUUAUAAAGUUGGCUCAGAGUUUGUGAUCAUGAAUUUGUAUGAAACCAUUUUUGUUAAAUUUGUGGUAUAGUUUAGCGCAAUACGAGUAUUUACAACUUACAUAUAUGUAUGCCAUUUGGAUUUACAGAUGUCUUACAUAGUUGGUUUCUUAAUUUCAGUAUACAAUUUAAAUGGAGGUAUAUGUAAUUGGGGCAAUGGGUUCCUUCUGGUGGUUCAAGUGCGAGAAUAUUUUUGUUUAUGACUGAGA